This 468-nucleotide ribosomal RNA is filed under the name uncultured bacterium. Its description in RNAcentral is "partial 16S ribosomal RNA". It matches the Rfam family "Bacterial small subunit ribosomal RNA", at positions 28 to 507 of the family's 1533-position model. The record is from RNAcentral.
GACGAACGCUGGCGGCGUGCUUAACACAUGCAAGUCGAACGGAAAGGCCCUGCUCUUGUGGGGUGCUCGAGUGGCGAACGGGUGAGUAACACGUGAGUAUCCUGCCCUUGACUGUGGGAUAACUUCAGGAAACUGGGGCUAAUACCGGAUAGGAGCUCCUGCUGCAUGGGGGGGGUUGGAAAGUUUCGGCGGUUGGGGAUGGACUAGCGGCUUAUCCGCUUGCUGGUGGGGUAGGGGCUUACCAAGGCUUUGACGGGUAGGCGGCCUGGGAGCGUGACCGGCCACAUUGGGCCUGCGAUACGGCCCAGACUCCUACGGGAGGCAGCAGUGGGGAAUAUUGCGCAAUGGGCGGACGCCUGAUGCAGCAACGCCGCGUGCGGGAUGCCGGCCUUCGGGUUGUAAACCGCUUUCGCCUGUGCCGAAGCGUGAGUGACGGUAAUGGGUAAAGAAGCACCGGCUAACUACGUG